CACGACCUUGCGCUUUUGGAGCGGCCGAUGUCUGAUUAGCUAGUUGGUGAGGUAAAGGCUUACCAAGGCGUCGAUCAGUAGCUGGUCUGAGAGGACGACCAGCCACACUGGGACUGAGACACGGCCCAGACUCCUACGGGAGGCAGCAGUGGGGAAUUUUGGACAAUGGGGGAAACCCUGAUCCAGCCAUGCCGCGUGAGUGAAGAAGGCCUUCGGGUUGUAAAGCUCUUUCAGCCGGAACGAAACGGUCACGGUUAAUACCCGUGACUACUGACGGUACCGGAAGAAGAAGCACCGGCUAACUACGUGCCAGCAGCCGCGGUAAUACGUAGGGUGCGAGCGUUAAUCGGAAUUACUGGGCGUAAAGCGUGCGCAGGCGGUUUUGUAAGUCAGAUGUGAAAUCCCCGGGCUUAACCUGGGAACU
Molecule: ribosomal RNA, 424 nt
Filed under: uncultured bacterium
Lineage: Bacteria
Description: bacterial SSU rRNA
Rfam family: Bacterial small subunit ribosomal RNA
Source: RNAcentral